RNAcentral lists this ribosomal RNA (445 nucleotides) under uncultured bacterium. RNAcentral's name for it is "partial 16S ribosomal RNA". It matches the Rfam family "Bacterial small subunit ribosomal RNA", at positions 330 to 792 of the family's 1533-position model. The record is from RNAcentral.
GCCAGACUCCUACGGGAGGCAGCAGUGGGGAAUAUUGCACAAUGAGGGAAACCCUGAUGCAGCGACGCCGCGUGAGCGAUGAAGUAUUUCGGUAUGUAAAGCUCUAUCAGCAGGGAAGAAAAUGACGGUACCUGAUUAAGAAGCCCCGGCUAACUCCGUGCCAGCAGCCGCGGUAAUACGGAGGGUGCGAGCGUUAAUCGGAAUUACUGGGCGUAAAGCGCUCGUAGGCGGUAUGUCAAGUCAAGGGUGAAAUCCCCGCGCUCAACGUGGGAACUGCCUUUGAAACUGGCAAACUGGAGUGUGUGAGAGGAUAGUGGAAUUCCAGGUGUAGGAGUGAAAUCCGUAGAUAUCUGGAGGAACAUCAGUGGCGAAGGCGACUAUCUGGCACAUAACUGACGCUGAGGGGCGGAAGCGUGGGUAGCAAACAGGAUUAGAUACCCCAGUA